ACUGAUAGCUCAUUAUUAUGCCAAUUUGGUGGUUUAUUACGAGCCCAGGUUUCUUUGCUGCGAAGCGCUUCUCGUGCCCUUU
This is a long non-coding RNA of Neltuma alba, 82 nucleotides long. RefSeq lists it as uncharacterized. The record is from RefSeq and is a predicted model, not a curated record. The transcript has 3 exons. NCBI's taxonomy places the organism in Eukaryota, Viridiplantae, Streptophyta, Magnoliopsida, Fabales, Fabaceae.